GUUUAUAUAGUUUAUAAAAACAUUACAUUUUCAAUGUAAAGAUAAAAUUAAUUUUUAUAAAUU
RNAcentral lists this transfer RNA (63 nucleotides) under Renocera pallida. RNAcentral describes it as "tRNA-Glu". The record is from RNAcentral. Lineage: Eukaryota; Metazoa; Arthropoda; Insecta; Diptera; Sciomyzidae.